RNAcentral lists this long non-coding RNA (1178 nucleotides) under Sus scrofa (pig). RNAcentral's name for it is "lncRNA (ENSSSCG00030012736.1, ENSSSCG00060070298.1)". Lineage: Eukaryota; Metazoa; Chordata; Mammalia; Artiodactyla; Suidae. The record is from RNAcentral.
GAAUGAAUGAAAUGUUAAUUACAUGGCUGUUUGGAGGUGUAUCAAGUGGGAAAAUUGCUUAAGCACAGACAGUAUUCUCAUUCUGCUUCUUUCUCACCUUUUGACUUUCCACAUGGCUGUUUUCUUCUCUGGAAGCUGAGUGAUUGGGAUAAGAUGGUCAUCCAGAGUCCCUUCCUAGUCUGAUCUUUUAUAAAGCUGUGAUUUUUCUAAAGCAAAAAGCCAGUGUGACCAAGAAGAGGUCAAGCAACUCUCAUGUGCGUUUGCGCCCUGGGAGAUGGGAAGAGAAGGCAUUGAGAAAGUUGGGGUCCAGGCAGUGGUGUGCUGCAUACUUGGAUACAGUUGUUUUAAUUUUUAUUUUUUCUGAUUUACCUUUUUUCCUCCCUUAGCACCCCUUUCUCCAUGGAGACAUUACUGCAGCCAUGCCUCUGUUGUUUGAGUUGAACCACAUGAAGCCUGGUUCUAGCUUCUUUAGGACCCCUCCCCCGUGUCAUUUCACCUGCAGGGAGUAACUCCCUGGUGUUUAACUCUCUUUUUCUAUUUUUACCUUCCUGUACCCAGACUGUGUUCUGUGACUCAUUCUAGCCUCAUGUUGAGCAGACUGUAUGUCCUUACCUGCUCUAGUCAAUAGAGUGUGGGUCGAUGUGAUGCCACCUAUGGCUUGAGAUAAGCUUGAGCCAUGGAUUUGCCUUCUUGGGCUUCUGCCAUCACCAUUAGAGAAACAUGCCCCGGUUAGCCCACUGGUCCAAGAAGAAUUGAGGGAUACCUGGAGCAGAAUGGACAACCCAAGGCCAUAGCUAAACUCUACUGAGCUGAGAUCAACUGAAUGAGAUCAGCAGAACUGCCCAGCUAACACACACGUAUGAGUGAGAAUAGAGGAUUGUUUUAAAUCACUGAGUAUUAAGGUGUAUGUUCCAUGGCAUUAUCGUGGCCAUAGCUGACUGAUACACCAGUCUUCUAAAACCAAGCCUGGGGUACUCAUUCUUCCAGAGAACAUUUCCUUAACCCAAAGAUUUGGCCUAACAGUAAGAAUUUCUCUAUGUUUUAUGUCAGUGGGUCAGUGGUUUGUGCGGACUGACAUAGGGACUGUAGCAGAAGAGAGGAAAAACAAGAAGCCAAUAAUGCUUAACUAUACCAUUUGAGGACUGCAAACAGGAGAGCAAUGAUUGAAGGAAUUUAUC